RNAcentral lists this ribosomal RNA (460 nucleotides) under uncultured bacterium. RNAcentral's name for it is "partial 16S ribosomal RNA". It matches the Rfam family "Bacterial small subunit ribosomal RNA", at positions 338 to 795 of the family's 1533-position model. The record is from RNAcentral.
CCUACGGGAGGCAGCAGUGAGGAAUAUUGGUCAAUGGACGAGAGUCUGAACCAGCCAAGUAGCGUGAAGGAUGACUGCCCUAUGGGUUGUAAACUUCUUUUAUAUGGGAAUAAAAUGUUCCACGUGUGGGAUUUUGUAUGUACCAUAUGAAUAAGGAUCGGCUAACUCCGUGCCAGCAGCCGCGGUAAUACGGAGGAUCCGAGCGUUAUCCGGAUUUAUUGGGUUUAAAGGGAGCGUAGGUGGAUUGUUAAGUCAGUUGUGAAAGUUUGCGGCUCAACCGUAAAAUUGCAGUUGAUACUGGCAGUCUUGAGUACAGUAGAGGUAGGCGGAAUGCGUGGUGUAGCGGUGAAAUGCUUAGAUAUCACGAAGAACUCCGAUUGCGAAGGCAGUUCACUGGACUGCAACUGACACUGAGGCUCGAAAGUGUGGGUAUCAAACAGGAUUAGAUACCCUUGUAGUC